Molecule: small nuclear RNA, 105 nt
Filed under: Phascolarctos cinereus (koala)
Lineage: Eukaryota; Metazoa; Chordata; Mammalia; Diprotodontia; Phascolarctidae
Source: RNAcentral
GUGCUUGCUUUGGCAGCACGUAUAUUAAAAUUGGAAUGAUAUAGAGAUUAGCAUGGCCCCCUAUGCAAGGCAGACAAGCAAAUUCAUGAAGCAUUCCAUGUUUUU